AUCCAGAUGAUGAGUCCCAAAUAGGACGAAAUGCGCGUUUUCCUGGAU
RNAcentral lists this non-coding RNA (48 nucleotides) under Trichobilharzia regenti. The record is from RNAcentral. Lineage: Eukaryota; Metazoa; Platyhelminthes; Trematoda; Strigeidida; Schistosomatidae.